ACUAAUCCUAGCCCUAACAAAAAUAAAUUCAAUUAUAUAAUUUUAUAAAACAAAACAUUUAGUUAACUAAAUUAAAGUAUUGGAGAAAGAAAUAUAAUUUAGGAGCCAUAGACAAAGUACCGUAAGGGAAAGAUGAAAGAUUAAUUAAAAGUACAAAUAAGCAAAGAUUAAACCUUGUACCUUUUGCAUAAUGAAUUAACUAGAAAUACUCUAACUAAAAGAAUUUAAGCUAGAAACCCCGAAACCAAACGAGCUACCUAAAAACAAUUUUAUGAGUUAACCCGUCUAUGUAGCAAAAUAGUGGGAAGAUUUUUAGGUAGAGGUGAAAAGCCAAACGAGCUUGGUGAUAGCUGGUUACCCAAAAAUGAAUCUAAGUUCAACUUUAAAUUUACUUAAAGAAUAUUAAAUCCAAAAGUAAUUUUAAAUUAUAGCCUAAAGGGGGACAGCUCUUUAGGAAUGGAAAAAACCUUCAACAGUGAAUAAACAACAAAAAAAAAUAAUCAUUGUAGGCCUAAGAGCAGCCACCAACAAAGAAAGCGUUCAAGCUCAACAUAAAAUUAUAACUAAUUUAACAAAACAAAAUAAUUUCCUAAAAUUUAAAUUGGGUUAAUCUAUAAUUUUAUAGAUGAGACACUGUUAAUAUGAGUAACAAGAAUUCUAAUUCUCCAAGCAUAAGUGUAUAACAACUCGGAUAACCAUUGUUAAUUAUCAGACCUUAGGUUACAAUUACAACAUAAAAAUUACCUGACCCUACUCUGUUAAUCCAACACAGGAAUGCUUUAAGGAAAGAUUGAAAAAAAUAAAAGGAACUCGGCAAACUAAAAUCCCGCCUGUUUACCAAAAACAUCACCUCUAGCAUGAUAAGUAUUAGAGGCAUUGCCUGCCCAGUGACUAAAGUUCAACGGCCGCGGUAUCCUGACCGUGCAAAGGUAGCAUAAUCACUUGUUCCUUAAUUAGGGACUAGAAUGAAUGGCUAAACGAGGAUUUAACUGUCUCUUAUUUUUAAUCAGUGAAAUUGACCUUUCAGUGAAGAGGCUGGAAUAUAAUAAUAAGACGAGAAGACCCUAUGGAGCUUAAAUUACAUAACUUAAUUAUUAAAUCUAUUAAUCUAAUGAAACUAAAGUAUAUAAUAUAAGUUACAAAUUUCGGUUGGGGUGACCUCGGAGAAUAAAUUAUCCUCCGAAUGAUUAUAACAUAGACUAACAAGUCAAAGUAAAAUUGAUUUAUCUUAUUGACCCAAAGUAUUUUGAUCAACGGACCAAGUUACCCUAGGGAUAACAGCGCAAUCCUAUUUAAGAGUUCAUAUCGACAAUUAGGGUUUACGACCUCGAUGUUGGAUCAGGACAUCCCAAUGGUGUAGAAGCUAUUAAUGGUUCGUUUGUUCAACGAUUAAAGUCCUACGUGAUCUGAGUUCAGACCGGAGUAAUCCAGGUCGGUUUCUAUCUAUUAACAAUUUCUCCCAGUACGAAAGGACAAGAGAAAUAGAGCCUCCUUACAAAUAAGCGCUCUCAACUUAAUUUAUUAAUAAUAUCUAAAUAAAGUAAAUAUGUACAUUUACCCACCUAGAUAAGGUU
Molecule: ribosomal RNA, 1574 nt
Filed under: Mus saxicola (spiny mouse)
Lineage: Eukaryota; Metazoa; Chordata; Mammalia; Rodentia; Muridae
Description: 16S ribosomal RNA
Rfam family: Bacterial large subunit ribosomal RNA
Source: RNAcentral